RNAcentral lists this ribosomal RNA (253 nucleotides) under uncultured bacterium. RNAcentral's name for it is "partial 16S ribosomal RNA". It matches the Rfam family "Bacterial small subunit ribosomal RNA", at positions 524 to 776 of the family's 1533-position model. The record is from RNAcentral.
GACAGAGGGGGCAAGCGUUGUCCGGACUCACUGGGCGUAAAGGGCGCGUAGGCGGUUUUGUGCGUCGGUGCUGAAAGCGCUCGGCUUAACCGAGCGAGGCGUGCCGAUACGAUGAAACUGGAGGGUGGGCGAGGUUGGUGGAAUUCCGGGUGUAGUGGUGAAAUGCGUAGAGAUCCGGAGGAACGCCAGUGGUGCAAACGGCCAACCAGCCCAUACCUGACGCUGAGGCGCGAAAGCGUGGGGAGCGAACCGG